Molecule: ribosomal RNA, 245 nt
Filed under: uncultured Gardnerella sp.
Lineage: Bacteria; Bacillati; Actinomycetota; Actinomycetes; Bifidobacteriales; Bifidobacteriaceae
Description: partial 16S ribosomal RNA
Rfam family: Bacterial small subunit ribosomal RNA
Source: RNAcentral
UAAUAGCGUGGUCCAACCUGCCCCAUGCUCCAGAAUAGCUCUUGGAAACGGGUGGUAAUGCUGGAUGCUCCAACUUGACGCAUGUCUUGUUGGGAAAGUGUUUAGUGGCAUGGGAUGGGGUCGCGUCCUAUCAGCUUGUAGGCGGGGUAAUGGCCCACCUAGGCUUCGACGGGUAGCCGGCCUGAGAGGGCGGACGGCCACAUUGGGACUGAGAUACGGCCCAGACUCCUACGGGAGGCAGCAGC